CACGGGGGGGGCAAGCGAUGAUCGGAAUUACUGGGCGUAAAGGGCGCGUAGGCGGGUGGACAAGUCUCUCGUGAAAGCCCACGGCUCAACCGUGGAAUUGCGGGAGAUACUGUCUGUCUUGAGUCCGGGAGAGGAGGGUGGAAUUCCCAGUGUAGCGGUGAAAUGCGUAGAUAUUGGGAGGAACACCGGUGGCGAAGGCGGCUCUCUGGACCGGUACUGACGCUGAGGCGCGAAAGCUAGGGGAGCAAACGGG
This 253-nucleotide ribosomal RNA is filed under the name uncultured bacterium. Its description in RNAcentral is "partial 16S ribosomal RNA". It matches the Rfam family "Bacterial small subunit ribosomal RNA", at positions 524 to 776 of the family's 1533-position model. The record is from RNAcentral.